This 497-nucleotide ribosomal RNA is filed under the name uncultured bacterium. RNAcentral describes it as "partial 16S ribosomal RNA". It matches the Rfam family "Bacterial small subunit ribosomal RNA", at positions 28 to 507 of the family's 1533-position model. The record is from RNAcentral.
GAUGAACGCUGGCGGCGUGCCUAAUACAUGCAAGUCGAGCGAACGGACGAGAAACUUGCUUCUCUGAUGUUAGCGGCGGACGGGUGAGUAACACGUGGAUAACCUACCUAUAAGACUGGGAUAACUUCGGGAAACCGUAGCUAAUACCGGAUAAUAUUUUGAACCGCAUGGUUCAAAAGUGAAAGACGGUCUUGCUGUCACUUAUAGAUGGAUCCGCGCUGCAUUAGCUAGUUGGUAAGGUAACGGCUUACCAAGGCAACGAUGCAUAGCCGACCUGAGAGGGUGAUCGGCCACACUGGAGCUGAGACACGGUCCAGACUCCUACGGGAGGCAGCAGUAGGGAAUCUUCCGCAAUGGGCGAAAGCCUGACGGAGCAACGCCGCGUGAGUGAUGAAGGUCUUCGGAUCGUAAAACUCUGUUAUUAGGGAAGAACAUAUGUGUAAGUAACUGUGCACAUCUUGACGGUACCUAAUCAGAAAGCCACGGCUAACUACGUG